UUGCAGAAUGAACCGGCGAGUUAAUGUUGCAUGCGAGGUUAAGUAGAAGAUACGGAGCCGAAGCGAAAGCGAGUCUUAAUAGGGCGAAAUAGUAUGCAGUAUUAGACCCGAAACCGAGUGAUCUAGCCAUGAGCAGGUUGAAGUUUGGGUAAAACCAAAUGGAGGACCGAACCGACGUACCCGGAAACGUGCGCGGAUGACUUGUGGCUAGCGGUGAAAUUCCAAUCGAACUCGGAUAUAGCUGGUUCUCCCCGAAAUAGGUUUAGGCCUAGCCUUGAGAUUGAGCACUGUGGAGGUAGAGCACUGAAUAUACAAUGGCCCCAUCUAGGGGUACUGAGUGUAAUCAAACUCCGAAUGCCAUAGAAAGCAUACUCAAGAGUCAGCGUAUGGGUGAUAACGUCCAUGCGCGAAAGGAAAAGAGUCCAGAUCGCCAAUUAAGGUCCCAAAAUUUGUACUAAGUGGGAAAGGAUGUGGAGUUGUCAAAACAGCUAGGAGGUUGGCUUAGAAGCAGCCAUCCUUUAAAGAGUGCGUAAUAGCUCACUAGUCGAGUGACACUGCGCCGAAGAUGUACCGGGGCUAAGUACAAUACCGAAAUUGCGGAUUUACACAUAAGUGUAAGUGGUAGGGGAGCGUUCCAAGGGCGUUGAAGGUUGACUGUGAGGACAGCUGGAGCGCUUGGAAGUGAGAAUGCCGGUGUGAGUAGCGCAAGAUGGGUGAGAAUCCCAUCCACCGUUUGCCUAAGGUUUCCUGGGCGAGGUUCGUCCUCCCAGGGUUAGUCGGGUCCUAAGACGAGGCCGAGAGGCGUAGCCGAUGGACAACAGGUUGAUAUUCCUGUACUAUCUAUAAGACUGAUGGAGUGACGGAGAAAGAUAGGAAGAGCCAGUUAAUGGAUUCUGGUCUAAGCACAAAGGUUGAUAAAAAGGGAAAUCCGUUUAUCGUUCAACUGAAGUGUGAUGGUGAAGUACCUAGUACGAAAUCUUCUGACUCUAUGCUUCCAAGAAAAGCUUCUAGGGUUAAUCUUAUAGAUACCCGUACCGAGAACCGACACAGGUGGGCAAGGAGAGUAUCCUAAGGUGAGCGAGAGAACUAUGGUUAAGGAACUCGGCAAAAUAACCCCGUAACUUCGGGAGAAGGGGUGGUCUAGCGAUAGACCCGCAGUAAAGACGUCCAGGCAACUGUUUACCAAAAACACAGGUCUCUGCUAAGUCGUAAGACGAUGUAUAGGGGCUGACACCUGCCCAGUGCUGGAAGGUUAAGAGGAGUGCUUAGAUAGACUAAGGUCGAUGAUUCGAAGGUACGAAUUGAAGCCCCAGUGAACGGCGGCCGUAACUAUAACGGUCCUAAGGUAGCGAAAUUCCUUGUCAGGUAAGUUCUGACCCGCACGAAAGGUGUAAUGAUCUGGACACUGUCUCAACCAUAGACUCGGUGAAAUCUUAAUACCUGUGAAAAUGCAGGUUACCCGCAACAGGACGGAAAGACCCCAUGGAGCUUUACUGUAGCUUGAUAUUGAGGUUCGGUGUAUUAUGUAGAGGAUAGGUGGGAGACUAAGAAGCUAGGACGCCAGUUCUAGUAGAGUCAACCUUGGAAUACCACCCUUAAUACAUUGGACUUCUAACCUAGGACCGUAAUCCGGUUCAGGGACAGUGUCUGGUGGGCAGUUUGACUGGGGCGGUCGCCUCCUAAAGAGUAACGGAGGCGCUCAAAGGUUCCCUCAGAAUGGUUGGAAAUCAUUCUAAGAGCGUAAAGGUAUAAGGGAGCUUGACUGCGAGACCAACAAGUCGAGCAGAUACGAAAGUAGGACUUAGUGAUCAGACGAUGCAGAAUGGAAUGGUCGUCGCUUAACGGAUAAAAGUUACCCUGG
Molecule: ribosomal RNA, 1861 nt
Filed under: human gut metagenome
Description: bacterial LSU rRNA
Rfam family: Bacterial large subunit ribosomal RNA
Source: RNAcentral